RNAcentral lists this long non-coding RNA (433 nucleotides) under Marmota monax (woodchuck). Lineage: Eukaryota; Metazoa; Chordata; Mammalia; Rodentia; Sciuridae. The record is from RNAcentral.
UCCACAGUAAAAUUAGCUGAUAUAGAAAGAUACUAUUAUUAUCAUUUGACUAAUGGAUAAAGUGAUGUACAAAGAUAUCAGAUAAAAAUUUCAGAAUCAUACAACUUGGAAACAAGGUAGAGCUGAGAUUCAAACCAACACAAUCUGCCUCCAGAAGUUAGUCAUUCUACUACACUGUCCAGGGCCUUCCAUACACUUUCAUUAAUUCAUUCAUUCAUUCGUUUGUUUGUUCAUCAAGUCUACAUUAAGUACUUAUCAUACACCAAACAACAUGCUAAAUAUUGAUGAUACAAUGAUGAAUAAAAUUGCAUCUUUGCCCUCAAGGGGCUAAUAUUCUAGUACAGGUAAAUUAAACAUACCAACUGAAUAAUUACAAUUGAUAAUUGCCCUAAAAAAAGGCUAUGUAUAAGGAACUAUUGGAGUAGGAAAAAAG